RNAcentral lists this ribosomal RNA (139 nucleotides) under uncultured bacterium. Its description in RNAcentral is "partial 16S ribosomal RNA". It matches the Rfam family "Bacterial small subunit ribosomal RNA", at positions 355 to 509 of the family's 1533-position model. The record is from RNAcentral.
UGGGGAAUAUUGCACAAUGGGGGAAACCCUGAUGCAGCGACGCCGCGUGAGUGAAGAAGUAUUUCGGUAUGUAAAGCUCUAUCAGCAGGGAAGAAAAAAUGACGGUACCUGACUAAGAAGCACCGGCUAAAUACGUGCC